This 373-nucleotide unclassified non-coding RNA is filed under the name uncultured bacterium. Its description in RNAcentral is "contains 16S-23S intergenic spacer region". The record is from RNAcentral.
UCCGGCUUAUCACCGGCAGUCCCUCUAGAGUGCCCAACUAAAUGAUGGCAACUAAAGGCGAGGGUUGCGCUCGUUGCGGGACUUAACCCAACAUCUCACGACACGAGCUGACGACAGCCAUGCAGCACCUGUGCAGGCUCCCGAAGGAGCACCGGCUUUCACCGGUUUCACCCUGCAUGUCAAGCCCUGGUAAGGUUCUUCGCGUUGCGUCGAAUUAAGCCACAUGCUCCACCGCUUGUGCGGGCCCCCGUCAAUUCCUUUGAGUUUCAGCCUUGCGGCCGUACUCCCCAGGCGGGGCACUUAAUGCGUUAGCUCCGGCACGGACAGAAUGAACUGCCCACACCAAGUAUGCAUCGUUUAGGGCGUGGACUAC